UACGUAGGGUGCAAGCGUUAAUCGGAAUUACUGGGCGUAAAGCGUGCGCAGGCGGUUAUGUAAGACAGAUGUGAAAUGCCCGGGCUUAACCUGGGAACUGCAUUUGUGACUGCAUGGCUAGAGUUUGGCAGAGGGGGGUAGAAUUCCACGUGUAGCAGUGAAAUGCGUAGAGAUGUGGAGGAACACCGAUGGCGAAGGCAGCCCCCUGGGCUAACACUGACGCUCAGGCACGAAAGCGUGGGGAGCAAACAGG
Molecule: ribosomal RNA, 253 nt
Filed under: uncultured bacterium
Lineage: Bacteria
Description: partial 16S ribosomal RNA
Rfam family: Bacterial small subunit ribosomal RNA
Source: RNAcentral